CCUACGGGUGGCAGCAGUGAGGAAUAUUGGUCAAUGGACGCAAGUCUGAACCAGCCAUGCCGCGUGCAGGAAGACGGCUCUAUGAGUUGUAAACUGCUUUUGUACGAGGGUAAAUCCCGAUACGUGUAUCGGGUUGAAAGUAUCGUACGAAUAAGGAUCGGCUAACUCCGUGCCAGCAGCCGCGGUAAUACGGAGGAUUCAAGCGUUAUCCGGAUUUAUUGGGUUUAAAGGGUGCGUAGGCGGUUCGAUAAGUUAGAGGUGAAAUCUCGGGGCUCAACCCCGGCACUGCCUCUGAUACUGUUGGGCUAGAGAAUAGUUGCGGUAGGCGGAAUGUAUGGUGUAGCGGUGAAAUGCAUAGAGAUCAUACAGAACACCGAUUGCGAAGGCAGCUUACCAAACUACGACUGACGUUGAGGCACGAAAGCGUGGGUAGCAAACAGGAUUAGAUACCCGGGUAGUC
Molecule: ribosomal RNA, 460 nt
Filed under: uncultured bacterium
Lineage: Bacteria
Description: partial 16S ribosomal RNA
Rfam family: Bacterial small subunit ribosomal RNA
Source: RNAcentral